Molecule: ribosomal RNA, 484 nt
Filed under: uncultured bacterium
Lineage: Bacteria
Description: partial 16S ribosomal RNA
Rfam family: Bacterial small subunit ribosomal RNA
Source: RNAcentral
AUUGAACGCUGGCGGCAGGCCUAACACAUGCAAGUCGAGCGGAUGAAGGGAGCUUGCUCCUGGAUUCAGCGGCGGACGGGUGAGUAAUGCCUAGGAAUCUGCCUGGUAGUGGGGGAUAACGUCCGGAAACGGGCGCUAAUACUGCAUACGUCCUGAGGGAGAAAGUGGGGGAUCUUCGGACCUCACGCUAUCAGAUGAGCCUAGGUCGGAUUAGCUAGUUGGUGGGGUAAAGGCCUACCAAGGCGACGAUCCGUAACUGGUCUGAGAGGAUGAUCAGUCACACUGGAACUGAGACACGGUCCAGACUCCUACGGGAGGCAGCAGUGGGGAAUAUUGGACAAUGGGCGAAAGCCUGAUCCAGCCAUGCCGCGUGUGUGAAGAAGGUCUUCGGAUUGUAAAGCACUUUAAGUUGGGAGGAAGGUCAGUAAGUUAAUACCUUGCUGUUUUGACGUUACCAACAGAAUAAGCACCGGCUAACUUCGUG